Molecule: ribosomal RNA, 406 nt
Filed under: uncultured bacterium
Lineage: Bacteria
Description: partial 16S ribosomal RNA
Rfam family: Bacterial small subunit ribosomal RNA
Source: RNAcentral
AUUGAACGCUGGCGGCAGGCCUAACACAUGCAAGUCGAACGAGUGGCGGACUGGUGAGUAAUGUCUGGGAAACUGCCUGAUGGAGGGGGAUAACUACUGGCAACGGUAGCUAAUACCGCAUACCAUUAGCUGUGCCCAGAUGGGAUUAGCUUGUUGGUGGGGUAACGGCUCACCAAGGCGACGAUCCAUAGAUGGACUGAGAGGAUGACCAGCAACACUGGGAGGGAGACACGGUCCAGACUCCUACGGGAGACAGCAGUGGGGAAUAUUGCACAAUGGGCGCAAGCCUGAUGCAGCCAUGCCGCGUGUAUGAAGAAGGCCUUCGGGUUGUAAAGUACUUUCAGCGGGGAGGCGUUACCCGCAGAAGAAGCACCGGCUAACUCCGUGCCAGCAGCCGCGGUAAUAC